UAACUUAUCAUUGCGUUGAGUUCGUGUCC
This 29-nucleotide small RNA is filed under the name Bombyx mori (domestic silkworm). RNAcentral's name for it is "ovarian small RNA-19050". The record is from RNAcentral. Lineage: Eukaryota; Metazoa; Arthropoda; Insecta; Lepidoptera; Bombycidae.